This 1894-nucleotide long non-coding RNA is filed under the name Canis lupus familiaris (dog). Its description in RNAcentral is "lncRNA (ENSCAFG00000051661.1)". The record is from RNAcentral. Lineage: Eukaryota; Metazoa; Chordata; Mammalia; Carnivora; Canidae.
CAGUACCAUUCUAACAGCAUUUAGUCUUUCUACUGCAAACUAUUUAAGGCAAUACAAUAUUCUGUAAAAGACAAAAAAAAAAGUGCACCCAAUUUCAUGAGGAUUGUCUGGUUAGAAAAUGUAACUGAUCCCUUCCUUAGGUGCAAGUGAAAUUGAAGAGGGUUAGAGACCUAGGCUCUGAAACAUGGGCUCUAAUCUUGCUGUCCUUCACUCUGUGCUCUGUUACAAUUUUCCUCAUCGAUGAGUGUGAUUCAAUUUUCCAUAAGAUACAUUUUAUUUUGAAAAGGAAAUGAGUGUCCUCUCAAAGUAAAAUAUUGAGGAGCACUGAAAGUUGUCCUUUUUUUUUUCUUCUCUUCAAUUUCACUUUUGAUAAAACCAAACUGGGCACGUUUCUAAUUGGCUUUCCUAUUUUUAUUUUUAAAUUAUGUUUUACUGUUUGUUUGAUUUGUACAGAUUCUUUAUUAUCAUCGUUCUUUUCAGUAUGUUUGUAUUAAUUUGUAAGAAUAUGCAUCUUAAAAUGGCAAGUUUUCAAUAUUUUUACAACUCACUGGUGGUUUUCCGCAUUCUUUGUACACACAUGAAAGAAAACUUUUAUGCAAGGUCUUGUGUUUAAAGAGAGCUUUGCGAAUAUUUUGUAUAUUACAGUCUCACUCGGAACUGUUUUUUCCACACAUUUAAGGUGUAGUAUUAAUAGGUAAAACUGGCUUUCUAGAGAGAAUAAACUUACAUAUUUAUUUUUAGUCAUAUAAAAGUAGCAAUAUUCUUGGAGACUGAUAACCAUAGCGUUAAUACGCCCAUUAUGGUCAUUUAAAUUAGGGUUUAUUUCAGCAAACUUGCUGAAUUUUUGGAAGGAGAGAAAUACUGUAUUGGCAAAUUACUGUUACUUGAUAACAGUGUUUUAACAAGCAGCAAAGUUGUAAGUUAGUUUCAGUGCAUUAUCUACUUGUGUAGUCCUUUGCAAUAACAGUAGUGUUACAUGUAAUCUAUCUGGCCUACCUGUUUUAUACAGCUGACAUAUGGUGUUAAGAGCCAGGCUGUUGAAUGGAAUUUCUCAGUAGCAGCCUACAAUUGAAUAGCAAGUGGCAUAAAGCAUAUCCAUUCAGAAUGAAGUGCCUUAAAUAUAGCAGUAGUCUUUUUUGGACUAGCACUGACUGAACCAUAAUAUAGGAGACAGUUUCAAGAUGGUAUCUAUAGUCAAGAGGAACAUGGAGCAUGGUGCCUAUGUAGACAAUAUAAGAGCUUCCAAUUUUCCUUCAGAUAUUUUUAAUAUUAAAUAUAUUUUAGUGACAGAGUGCCAACUUCUUUCAUCAGGAAAUCUUAUUCAGGAGGGUUUUUUUUAAAAAAAAGAAAAUGAGUUUAAAUGUCAAAUACGAAUUGGUGGAUGGGUAUUGGAGGGUUCAAAAAGAAGGUGUGAUUGUCAGAUGUAUGAAUGGAUGGCUUCCGUGAAAAUAAUCAACUGCAUAGUUCCCAUGCACAUUGGGCAAUGAGAAUCCUUGGAAACACUGAUGAUGCUAUCAGUUUUAUAGCUUUAUUACUGAAGGGGGUAGGGAAAAUUAAUUCCCAUUCUUUCAAUCCCCUUAAUUGUAUAGCUCUUUUCCUAGUAUAGUGAUGCAAAUCUGCAUGAACAGCUAACUGUACCAUAGUGUUCAUUGAUACAAUCAUAGCAUUGUCUACUUUUCUCUUCAUAUUUAUAUGGGGGGAGGGGAGCUGGUUGCACAAGUCAAAGAUCGCGAUGGUGUGAUGCUUGUUUACUUUAGCUGAUUGUGAGAGUUCUUAAAAAUGGAGCAAGGUUGACUAGCCCCUGGCCCAGGGAAUAUGGCCAGGGCUAAGUGACCUUAUAGAAAGCUCCGUUGAGAGGAAGCAUGGCAUCUUGUACCACUGUCCUGACUUUCGC